Molecule: ribosomal RNA, 468 nt
Filed under: uncultured bacterium
Lineage: Bacteria
Description: partial 16S ribosomal RNA
Rfam family: Bacterial small subunit ribosomal RNA
Source: RNAcentral
GACGAACGCUGGCGGCGUGCUUAACACAUGCAAGUCGAACGGAAAGGCCCUGCUUUUGUGGGGUGCUCGAGUGGCGAACGGGUGAGUAACACGUGAGUAACCUGCCCUUGACUUUGGGAUAACUUCAGGAAACUGGGGCUAAUACCGGAUAGGAGCUCCUGCUGCAUGGUGGGGGUUGGAAAGUUUCGGCGGUUGGGGAUGGACUCGCGGCUUAUCAGCUUGUUGGUGGGGUAGUGGCUUACCAAGGCUUUGACGGGUAGCCGGCCUGAGAGGGUGACCGGCGACAUUGGGACUGAGAGACGGCCCAGACGCCUACGGGAGGCAGCGGUGGGGAAUAUGGCAGAAUGGGCGGAAGCCUGAGGUAGCAACGCCGCGUGCGGGAUGACGGCCUUCGGGUUGUAAACCGCUUUCGACUGUGACGAAGCGUGAGUGACGGUAAUGGGUAAGGAAGCACCGGCUAACUACGUG